Molecule: small RNA, 89 nt
Filed under: Dipodomys ordii (Ord's kangaroo rat)
Lineage: Eukaryota; Metazoa; Chordata; Mammalia; Rodentia; Heteromyidae
Description: sRNA (ENSDORG00000028961.1)
Source: RNAcentral
UGUUCUCGUGGGGAUUUACUGAAACUCCACCCAAAUUACAUUUGCAUAGCAGUGAAAAACCGGUAUUUUCUAUCUUAUGACUCACCCUC